RNAcentral lists this ribosomal RNA (590 nucleotides) under uncultured haloarchaeon. Its description in RNAcentral is "bacterial SSU rRNA". It matches the Rfam family "Archaeal small subunit ribosomal RNA", at positions 332 to 921 of the family's 1478-position model. Lineage: Archaea; Methanobacteriati; Methanobacteriota; Halobacteria; Halobacteriales; Halobacteriaceae. The record is from RNAcentral.
GCAGCAGGCGCGAAACCUUUACACUGCACGCCAGUGCGAUAAGGGGAUCCCAAGUGCGUAGGCAUAGAGCCUACGCUUUUGUCCACCCUAGGGUGGUGGACGAAUAAGGGCUGGGCAAGACCGGUGCCAGCCGCCGCGGUAAUACCGGCAGCCCAAGUGAUGGCCGAUCUUAUUGGGCCUAAAGCGUCCGUAGCUGGCCGCACAAGUCCAUCGGGAAAUCCACCUGCUCAACAGGUGGGCGUCCGGUGGAAACUGUGUGGCUUGGGACCGGAAGGCGCGACGGGUACGUCCGGGGUAGGAGUGAAAUCCUGUAAUCCUGGACGGACCGCCGAUGGCGAAAGCACGUCGCGAAAACGGAUCCGACAGUGAGGGACGAAAGCUAGGGUCUCGAACCGGAUUAGAUACCCGGGUAGUCCUAGCCGUAAACACUGCCUGCUAGGUGUGGCACCCACUACGAGUGGGUGCUGUGCCGUAGGGAAGCCGCUAAGCAGGCCGCCUGGGAAGUACGUCCGCAAGGAUGAAACUUAAAGGAAUUGGCGGGGGAGCACUACAACCGGAGGAGCCUGCGGUUUAAUUGGAUUCAACGCCGG